CAAUGGUGCGGGCGUUACCGGAUUCCUGGGCGUAAGGGCGCGUAGGCGGUUUGGCAAGUCGCCUGUGAAAGCCCCCGGCUCAACUGGGGGAGGUCGGGCGAAACUGCUAGGCUGGAGGACGGCAGAGGAAGGUGGAACGACCGGAGUAGCGGUGAAAUGCGUAGAUACCGGUCGGUAUCCCGAUGGCGAAGGCAACCUUCUGGGUCGUUCCUGACGCUGAGGCGCGAAAGCGUGGGGAGCAAACCGGAUUAGAUACCCGGGUAGUCCACGCCCUAAACGAUGUGGGCUAGGUGUCGGGCGAGCAGUCGCUUGGUGCCGCAGCUAACGCGUUAAGCCCACCGCCUGGGUAGUACGGCCGCAAGGCUAAAACUCAAGGGAAUUGACGGGGCCCCGCACAAGCGGUGGAGCAUGUGGUUCAAUUCGAUGCAAACCGAAGAACCUUACCCGGGCUUGACAUGCUGGUGGUACUGACCCGAAAGGGAAGGGACCCAUGGCCUUCGGGCGCUUGGGAACCAGCACAGGUGCUGCAUGGCUGUCGUCAGCUCGUGUCGUGGGAUGUUGGGUUAAGUCCUGAAACGAGCGCAACCCCUGCCGCCCGUUGCCAACGGACCCUUCGGGGUGCCGGGGACUCAGGCGGGACUGCCGGCGAAUAGCCGGAGGAGGGAGGGGAUGAUGUCAAGUCCUCAUGGCCCUUAUGUCCGGGGCUACACACAUGCUACAGUGCCCAGCACAAUGGGUCGCCAACCCGCAAGGGGGAGCCAAUCCCAUCAAAACUGGGCAUGGUUCGGAUUGCAGGCUGCAACCCGCCUGCAUGAAGCCGGAAUCGCUAGUAAUCGCGGGUCAGCCAAACCGCGGUGAAUACGUACUCGGGGCUUGUACACACCGCCCGUA
This 891-nucleotide ribosomal RNA is filed under the name uncultured bacterium. RNAcentral's name for it is "bacterial SSU rRNA". It matches the Rfam family "Bacterial small subunit ribosomal RNA", at positions 527 to 1398 of the family's 1533-position model. The record is from RNAcentral.